This 550-nucleotide long non-coding RNA is filed under the name Nicotiana benthamiana. RNAcentral describes it as "long non-coding RNA (NBEN_LNC031047)". Lineage: Eukaryota; Viridiplantae; Streptophyta; Magnoliopsida; Solanales; Solanaceae. The record is from RNAcentral.
UAAAAACACUACCCCAAGUUUUCAAUUCCUAGACUAAAAAGAAAAGGAGCCGCCGGCUCCCCUCCCCUCCCCGACGUUCUGACUUGAAUAGUGACAAGCAACACCUAUUUUCUCAAUUGAAAAGUAACACAUAUACACAUAGCCACAUAGACGAGAGAAUAGAGGCUCCGAAUGGUUGCAGCAGGUGAAAUUCGGCCUGCUUGAGGUUCGAGUUUUCUCCUCUUCGGUCGGUUCGAGGUUCUCGUUCACGGCUCCUGGUCACUGAAAGUUGCCUCCUUUAAGUUCUAAAUUCAAUUUGAGUUUAUUCAAACUCUCUUGUACAACUAGUUUCGGAUCUGGGUUUGAUUCUUAACUGAUUUUCCUUGCAAAUAGGUACACGUGAUAAAUACCCUCUUAUAAUUAUGCCUCUUUGAAAGUGAUAAUGGAUUUUAUUUUAGUAAUCUCUGUCUAAUUUGCUUCCAAUGGUAGUCUUAAAAUAUGAUUGUUUGAAUUGAUUUUUUUUCUUUUAUUUUUCUUUUUUUGAAAAUGAAUUGGGCAUGCUGAUUUCAUU